GUUGAAGGGCCGCGGUAUUAUGACUGUGCGAAGGUAGCAUAAUCAUUAGUUCUUUAAUUGGGGGCUAGAAUGAAUGGUUUGACGAGGUGAAAACUGUCUUAUUAUAAUAAAUUGAAAUUAUCUUUUAAGUUAAAAGACUUAAAUAAAGGUAAAGGACGAGAAGACCCUAUAGAGCUUAAUAUUUAAUUUUUUUUAAUUUUUAAAUAAGGAGUGAUUAUAAAUUUUAAGAAUAAAUAUUAUGUUGGGGUGACAUGAAGAUAAUAAGAACUCUUUUAUAAGGAAACAUUAAUUUGUGGUUUUUUGAUCCAUUAUUAGUGAUUAUUAGAAUAAGUUACCUUAGGGAUAACAGCGUAAUAUUUUUUAAGAGUUCAUAUCAACAAAGGAGAUUGCGACCUCGAUGUUGGAUUAAGGAUACUAUUGGGCGCAAGAGUUUAAUAAGUAGGUCUGUUCGACCUUUAAAUCUUUACAUGAUCUGA
This 476-nucleotide ribosomal RNA is filed under the name Arantia gracilicercata. RNAcentral describes it as "partial large subunit ribosomal RNA". It matches the Rfam family "Bacterial large subunit ribosomal RNA", at positions 1922 to 2608 of the family's 2925-position model. The record is from RNAcentral. Lineage: Eukaryota; Metazoa; Arthropoda; Insecta; Orthoptera; Tettigoniidae.